GUUGUCACGGUAACCGGUAUAGCGGUAAAACCCGGUAAAAAAGUUGACAAUAAAAAUAACCGUCCAGUUUUAAAAAAACUAAAUUAUCUCGGUGGGUUUACCGUGGCCGCGGUUUCAGCGCGGUGACCCUUACCAGCCACCGUCGCUUCAGCUGAAGUUUCCGCGGCGCGCACACGCACUGUUUAGUUUGCAACGGCACCAAAACUUUGAAGCUGAAAUAAUGGCCGAAGGAGGAGACGGCAGCGCCCAGGACAUCCAUCAGCCCUCAAAGAAGACUAAAUCGGAAGUAUGGGCAUAUUUUGGAUUUCUGAAAAACGCUGAGGGACAGUUAAUAGAAGACUGCUAUCCCGUUUGCAGAACGUGCAGGAAACAAGUGUCUGCAAAAGGCAGCAACACUUCGAAUCUAAAGGCACAUCUGCGUGACCAUCACCCACGUCUCUACAGCCAGUGCAAGGUAAGUUAACAUUAGCAUUUUAGCUUAAAUGCAUGACGUGAGGACUUUUGGUUGAGGGAGAAUGCAACGAGUCACUAAAUACUGCAGCCGCAGCGUCCUCUGCCAGCAUUUAAACCGUGUCACGGACACCCUGUUGCUGGAUGAAGCAUCUUAUUUGUUGAUGAUGAAGAGAAAUAUACAAUUAGUUCCUUGUCAUUGAUUUGUUUACUUAUUCAAUGCCAUUUAUACUUGAACAUUUGGAUUUGAUUACAUAGUGUAGUAGUUAUUUUAGUAAUUUGUUUAAAGUGGCUAUUUAUUUUAAAUACAUAUUUUUUUAAGGUUGACUUGUACAGUGCUCAAGUCAAGUGUGGACUGGAGUUUUAGAUUUUCAUUUUGAUAAUGAAGAAAACAAGUAUAUGAGAAAACAAGUGGUGUUUCUUUGAUUUGUUUACAUAUUGUUUAUGUUUUGAAUGUUUGGAUUUGUAUAAUUUAAACCUGCACUGACUACUGUAACAUGUUCCAGAAAAAUAAGCUAUUUGUUCCUUUACUUGUGAAAAGUUGCACUUUUGCUAAGGCUUUGUGUUAUUUUAGGUUUAAUAAACACUGUUAAACCUUUUCAGAACUAUUUCAGUUUGUGUAGAACAGGACUAUCAAUGCUUUCUGAACAUAUGCAACACCAUUUAAAAAAUACCGCGAUAAUACCGAAAACCGUGAUAAUUUUGGUCACAAUAACCGUGAGGUUAAAUUUUCAUACCGUGACAACCCUAGAAAAUACCAAAGCGUGCCCUUGGAAACCGUGGUCGGGCUGAACUGCAUCGGUCCGAGUUGCCCUGAGUAGUGUUCCUGGAAAAGCACCUUAACCCCGGCUUUCCACAGGAGCCGUCAGCAGCACGUUACUGCAGCAGCACGUCAUAGCUGCUGAUAGGAGCCGCUGUGGUCAACAGAACCUUUUCCACUGGAGCCGUCAGCAGCCGUCAGCAGUGCGAGUCAGCCGCGUCUCAGGAGCAGCAUGUCGCAGCCUUUACGCACCGGUUCUAUUUUCUACGUGCGAUGCCUCUGAAACGGGUCAAGUUCAACAUUUUUGGGGAAGGAAAGACAGGAAAUCGGACGCGGAAAUGGAGCGAAGCUCCCGAGAUUUUCAGAAUAAAGAAACGUACUGCCUUCCGGUUCCUUUACUUUUAAAAAUAGUUACUAACUGUGCGGCCCCGUGAGAAGUUAUCACCUAGCUAGCGGUCUCCUUUGUUUUUCAGGUCCAUAUUGGCAAUUAUAAAACGGACAGAACAUAAAACACAAACCUUUUGGAGCCAUGUUGUAGUUUUCUCCUGCUUGUUGUUGUGUUUACUGACGAAGUCACUCGUGUGACUUCGCGCUCUGUCGGUGACAGCUGCUCCCCUGCUGCUUAGCGUCUCGUGGGAAGGGCCAGGCAGCAGUUUACGUGAGCAAGACGUGCUGCUGCAGUAACGUGUUGCUGAUGGCUCCUGUGGAAACCCGGGGGUUAGGCUGCAGAACCAGGCAUAUCAGCUUUACUAACUCCAACAGACCUGACCGGCAAUCUGAAGUUGCAAGUGUGGUAUUCUGGCCACAGAGCGGUGAGGGUCUGAGUGACAUUUCAUUCACCAUGUAAAGGGUCAUUUUGGCACAUGCUGGCUCAAGAAAAUGAGUUCAAAAUACGAAAAAGUUUUAAAGUAUCACUUUAAGUUAUCUUGGUGUCAUGGUCUGGGGUGAGUCCUCCUCUCUCUGCUAAACCUUCUCUGAGCUUCUCCUGCAGGUGGGCGUGUCAAGGAGUGGACCAGCUGCAGCCCAUCUGCUCAUCAGUUGGCCAGGGACAUAUAAGCUGCUGGGAGACAUCUUUAUUCGCUGGAUGAUUAACUCAACUUCGGUAUCUACGACUCCCGAGCCUGAUUACUGAGUAAUCCGAAUAGAUAUCGUCCAAGUCGUACUUCUAGCCAGAUUGCUGGUUCCUGUGUGUUUUUCCAAGCUUGCCUGAUUUUUGUAAGCUGCCUCUUCUCCAGAUUUCCACCACCACCUUUCACACCGUCCUGCAACCUACCGGACCAGUCCCGCUGUCUCCCAGCCGCUCCCUGGCUGUCCGCUCCAUACUGACCUUACCUUACCGGAUCCUGCUCCCUAUUCCGUGCUCAGCUCCUCCAGUCCUCCAGCAACCUGGAAACCCAGUCUCCUAUGAUCCAGCGUGUGUCUCUGUCUCCCACUCCUCACGGACUACCCCCCCAGAACAACUCUUCUCUGGUUUCCCCUGGAUCACAAACUAUAACCCCCCGGAGCCCCAGCUGGAUUUUCCUGCUGCGCUUUUAGUUCACGUUUUAUAAACUUUCUUUUUUAUACCAUACUCAGACUCUGUGAAUGAUUCUGCAUGUGGUGGGUCAGACACCUUCCCCCCUAACAUGACACUUGGUUGGACAAGUUUUUGUUUAUAUUUAUACAUUGUUUUCAUUUUGUUCUCAAUUCUCUCAACUACUUAGCUUUAGUAGGAGGAUGUUUUAUCUCAACAAGCUUUAUUCUGUAAGUGAAUAAAUAUAUGGGUGCAUAUAGGACACACCCAAAGUC
Non-coding RNA from Nothobranchius furzeri (turquoise killifish), 2998 nucleotides. Lineage: Eukaryota; Metazoa; Chordata; Actinopteri; Cyprinodontiformes; Nothobranchiidae. The record is from RefSeq and is a predicted model, not a curated record.